This 311-nucleotide ribosomal RNA is filed under the name uncultured soil bacterium. Its description in RNAcentral is "bacterial SSU rRNA". It matches the Rfam family "Bacterial small subunit ribosomal RNA", at positions 26 to 347 of the family's 1533-position model. The record is from RNAcentral.
AGAUUGAACGCUGGCGGCAUGCCUAACACAUGCAAGUCGAACGGGAGUAGCAAUACUCUAGUGGCGGACGGGUGAGGAAUACGUAGGAAUUUGCCCUUAAGUGGGGGAUAACCCGGGGAAACCCGGAUUAAUACCGCAUGACCUCGAAAGAGCAAAGUGGGGGAUCGCAAGACCUCACGCUUUUGGAGAAGCCUACGUCGGAUUAGCUUAGUUGGUGAGGUAAUGGCUCACCAAGGCGACGAUCCGUAACUGGUCUGAGAGGAUGAUCAGUCACACCGGAACUGAGACACGGUCCGGACUCCGUACGGGAG